This is an RNA transcript of Magnolia sinica, 2944 nucleotides long. RefSeq lists it as uncharacterized. The transcript is spliced from 15 exons. NCBI's taxonomy places the organism in Eukaryota, Viridiplantae, Streptophyta, Magnoliopsida, Magnoliales, Magnoliaceae. The record is from RefSeq and is a predicted model, not a curated record.
GCGAGUGCGACGGGAGAAAACAUCGCUCUCGGCUCGGGUAGGAACGGACGGCGAAUCUCUCCAAUCCUCUCUUUAAUCACGUGGAUUAACGAUCGAUGAAGCACUGAUCAACAGACCAUCCACAUCAAAGGAGGAAAUCUCCUCCUCUUCCUCUCAGUCCGUUGCGAUGGAUGGAAUGUUCAAAAAGCUGCGGAAUCUAGAUGCGUAUCCAAAGAUCAACGAGGAUUUCUACAGCCGUACGCUCUCCGGAGGCAUCAUCACCGUCGUUUCCUCCAUCGUCAUGCUCUUGCUCUUCAUCUCCGAGCUCAGACUAUAUCUUCUUGCAGUUACUGAAACGAAGCUUGUAGUAGAUACUUCUAGAGGAGAAACUCUUCGUAUCAAUUUUGAUGUCACCUUUCCUGCCCUCCCAUGUUCAAUACUAAGUCUCGAUGCCAUGGAUAUCAGUGGAGAGCAACAUCUUGAUGUAAGACAUGAUAUAAUCAAGAAAAGGAUAGAUGCUAACGGGAAUGAUAUUGAGGCUAGGCCGGAUGGAAUUGGUGCACCUAAGAUUGAAAAGCCAUUACAGAGACAUGGUGGAAGGCUUGAACAUAAUGAGACAUAUUGUGGUUCUUGUUAUGGUGCGGAAGUGUUUGAUGAAGAUUGUUGUAACUCGUGUGAAGAAGUUCGUGAAGCAUACAGAAAGAAAGGUUGGGGGCUGUCGAAUCCUGAUUUGAUUGACCAGUGCAAACGAGAGGGUUUUCUCCAAAGAAUUAAAGAUGAAGAAGGUGAAGGAUGCAACAUCUAUGGAUUCUUGGAAGUUAAUAAGGUCGCUGGUAAUUUUCAUUUUGCCCCUGGGAAAAGCUUCCAACAGUCAAAUAUUCAUGUGCAUGAUUUGCUGGCAUUUCAGAAGGAUAGUUUUAAUAUUAGCCACACAAUCAAUAAACUAUCCUUUGGAGCACAUUUCCCAGGCGUUGUUAAUCCUCUUGAUGGGGUACAAUGGGUGCAAAAGACACCAUAUGGGAUGUAUCAGUAUUUCAUCAAGGUGGUUCCUACUGUUUACACUGACAUAAGCAGGCACACAAUCCAGUCAAAUCAGUUCUCUGUAACAGAGCAUUUUAGGGGUGCAGAACUUGGUCUUGUGCAGGCUCUUCCUGGAGUUUUCUUCUUUUAUGAUCUUUCACCUAUUAAGGUGACUUUCAUAGAGCAACAUGUGUCCUUCUUACACUUCCUCACAAAUGUUUGUGCUAUUGUUGGAGAAAAUUUCAGAAACUUGCAUGUGCAUUUUGCUGAUUCCACGAUUGAAGGCAGAGAUGCUGAAGGACAACAUCCUACCAUAUGUCAGAUGGCCAUAAAAAAAAAAAAGGUUAGUUAUCCUGUCCUUGUGUUUUAGUGUUUUGCCUGAUAUUGUAUGGAAGACCGGCUGCCUAUUUUUUUGAAGCAGAAUCUCGGGUGUAAAAUCAAGCAGGAUCACUCAUUCCUCACUUUUAGAGAGAGUAAUCAACCAGUAUAUCAUCCGAAAAUGGAGGAACUGGAAUUUGAUGCAUUGCCCAUUCCAAUGUGAGAUGAUCAGUGUGCUUUACACUGGAUUCGGCCUGAGCCCAGAGGCCUGUGGAUUGGAUCUGGCCCUGAGUUUUGAGCUGAAUAAUUAAUUGGACUUGACCUGGCCUGCAUCUGCUCUGUCCUGAAAGAUAGUUGCUAUGGCUCAGCACAGCCUGGCCCAUUUCCCAUCCUAAUCAACGCCCCUUUCAUCUUUAGCUCUUGGGGUCUGGCAAGAGGUGGAACAUCAAUCCACGCCCCUUCAACGUAUCAACCGGCUCUUCUUGGUAUAGACAAGGGAUCGUAGGACCGCCGCACAUGAUUCCAGUCAAAGAGAUUCUGCGGUGUUUGGAUACUGGGAAAGCUAUUGUCAGAAUCCAAUUUUUGUGUUUGGACCAUAGGAAAGAGUUGUUGAGAGAGGAGAGAGCUUUUAUCCUUAACGCAAAAUAAUAAUAAAUAGAUAAAUAAACAGUCGUUUGAUGGGAAUGCAUUUCUCUAAAUUUUGCAUCCCAUCGUGAAGAUGAAAAUCGGAAAGGGGGUAAAUUUCGAGAAAGGAAUUUAUGUGGAAAUUCAUUUUCCAUCCUUUUCCAGAACAAACACAAAUUCCGCCCCUAACUAAUGGGAUUCAUUUCCCUAGGACUGGAUUCUCAGUGGCCAAACAACAUUAAUGGAUGAGUUGUACCUUGAAAGAAGAUCUCAUAUUUGGAUAUAUCUUAUCUAUAUUAGGUGGAGUCUAAAAGACCAACAAUUUGGAUCAUUGAGGAGGUGGAGCUGUCACCUGUGAGGAGAAAUUUAUCGAGAGAUCAUAAAUUACUGACUACAUACAGCAUUCGCUAUCAUUACAGAUGCGGGGGAUUGGCCUACCUUUCGAGAAACAUUAGAUGACACAAACGCUAAGAAGCGAAUGGUGGCUAUGCAGGACGAGAUGAAUUCCUUAUACAAGAUUGAGAUGUAGGAGUUAGUGGAGCUUCUUGUUGAACGUAAAGUAGUCGGAUGUAAGUGGAUUUACAAUAAGAAACAUGACAGAUACAAUGCGAGAUUGGUUGCGAAGGGGUAUGCUAAAAAAGAAGGCAUCGACUUCAAUGAGAUAUUUGCAUCAAUUGUCAAGAAGGUAUCCAUCAUAUUUGUGUUGGCACUGGCUGCCCAAUACAAUAUAGAACUAGAACAAAUAAAUGUAAAAAUUACUUUCUUAUAUGGGGAAUUGGAAGAAUAGAUCUACAUGAAGCAGUCAGAUAAGUUUGAGGUGCAGAGGUCAAAGAAUAAAGUUCACAGGUCAAUGAGGUCGUCGUACAACUUAAAACAGUCGCCUAUGCAGUGAUAUAAGAAAUUUGAUACUUUCAUAGUGAGUCAGCGGUUGAUCAGAAGUGAAUUUGAUCAUUAUAUUUACUUUAAGGCAUUGAAUGAUGGAGAUUUCAUUAUACUUGUAUUA